CUGCUCACCUUGGCAGCACGUGGACUAAAAUUAGGACGAUGCAGGGGGAUUAGCAUGGCCCCUGCACAAAGGUGACAGGCAGAUGCAUGACACAUUCCAUAGCGUC
This 106-nucleotide small nuclear RNA is filed under the name Microtus ochrogaster (prairie vole). The record is from RNAcentral. Lineage: Eukaryota; Metazoa; Chordata; Mammalia; Rodentia; Cricetidae.